CCUACGGGUGGCAGCAGUGAGGAAUAUUGGUCAAUGGACGCAAGUCUGAACCAGCCAAGCCGCGUGAAGGAUGACGGUUCUAUGGAUUGUAAACCUCUUUUGUAAGGGAAUAAAGUGUGGGACGUGUCCUUUUUUGUAUGUACCUUAUGAAUAAGGAUCGGCUAACUCCGUGCCAGCAGCCGCGGUAAUACGGAGGAUCCGAGCGUUAUCCGGAUUUAUUGGGUUUAAAGGGUGCGUAGGCGGUUCGUUAAGUCAGUGGUAAAAUUGCGGGGCUCAACCCCUUCCUGCCAUUGAUACUGGCGGUCUUGAGUGGAAGAGAGGUAUGCGGAAUGCGUGGUGUAGCGGUGAAAUGCUUAGAUAUCACGCAGAACACCGAUUGCGAAGGCAGCAUGCCGGGUUCCGACUGACGCUGAAGCACGAAAGCGUGGGGAUCGAACAGGAUUAGAUACCCGGGUAGUC
This 459-nucleotide ribosomal RNA is filed under the name uncultured bacterium. RNAcentral's name for it is "partial 16S ribosomal RNA". It matches the Rfam family "Bacterial small subunit ribosomal RNA", at positions 338 to 795 of the family's 1533-position model. The record is from RNAcentral.